UACGUAGGGAGCAAGCGUUGUCCGGAAUCAUUGGGCGUAAAGCGCGCGUAGGUGGCCUCAUAAGUCCGCUGUGAAAGUCAAAGGCUCAACCUUUGAAAGCCGAUGGAUACUGCGGAGCUAGAGUACGGAAGAGGCGAGUGGAAUUCCUGGUGUAGCGGUGGAAUGCGCAGAUAUCAGGAGGAACACCAAUAGCGAAGGCAGCUCGCUGGGACGUUACUGACACUGAGGCGCGAAAGCGUGGGGAGCGAACAGG
Molecule: ribosomal RNA, 253 nt
Filed under: uncultured bacterium
Lineage: Bacteria
Description: partial 16S ribosomal RNA
Rfam family: Bacterial small subunit ribosomal RNA
Source: RNAcentral